This 253-nucleotide ribosomal RNA is filed under the name uncultured bacterium. Its description in RNAcentral is "partial 16S ribosomal RNA". It matches the Rfam family "Bacterial small subunit ribosomal RNA", at positions 524 to 776 of the family's 1533-position model. The record is from RNAcentral.
UACAGAGGUUGCAAACGUUGUUCGGAAUUACUGGGCAUAAAGCGCACGUAGGUGGUCCGCUAAGUCGGAUGUGAAAUUCCCCGGCUCACCCGGGGAACGGCAAUCGAUACUGGCGGGCUUGAGGUCCGGAGGGGUGAGUGGAACUCCUGGUGGAGCGGUGAAAUGCGUAGAUAUCAGGAGGAACACCAGUGGCGAAAGCGGCUCACUGGCCGGAAUCUGACACUGAGGUGCGAAAGCUAGGGUAGCAAACGGG